UCAACUCAUAAUUUCAACCAUAGAUUCAAAUUUAUCAAAAUAGAGUUUACAAGUAAUUAUUGUUAUUGUUACAUACAUAACACUCCUAUAGUAAUUGCGGAUGUUUACAAAUAUUUAUAAAUAUUAGAGGUACCUAGCUAAAUAGGAAUUACUGUACAAAUGUAGUUAUUAAUUCAACAAACUCUGUGGAGGAAGGAAAAACAGAGCUUCGAUUAAAUGCAAAAUGGAGUUUGGUUUCCUGAAAAUUUUAAAGGAAACGGGAGUGAGUAUAAAACUUAAUGAAUAAUAAUAAAUAAUGUAUAGCACAGGCAUUCACACGAAAUGCAUCCUAAGAUACUAAAAUGAACACACAACUAGUCAAGCAUAUGGCACAACAUCAGCACUCGCAAGUAAUUUCAUCUUCAAAUAAUCAAACAAGUGGAAAUUAGUCAGUGGCAUCACCGAAACUCCCGACGAGCUGUCCUCCCACAUGGCCCGCCUUCUCAAAGGUGUGUACUAGGGAGCCGAUCCCCAAUACAUAGCUGACCAGUUUAAUCCUCACUUGACCAGCCCUCUCAUUUUUUUUUUAUACUCUCUUUUCUUUUUCAUACCAACAGGAAGUCACUCUGUGAUUUAUCCAUAUCAUAUAUCAUCAAACGGACACAGGGGCACCAAUCUCCCCAUACAUGGCCGACGGUAUCGAAGACCGCCCUCAUAAAUCCAUGUUGACCCAUUUUAUCCUAAUUCCACACAAACAAGGCACAACAAUAUCACAAUGCAAAUAAUCAAACAAUUAUUCAAUAGAAUGCAUCAAGAUAUCAAUUAACAUGCAGACUUAAAGAUAUGAUAUAAAUAUAUCAAUAUAACCAUAUAUCAAUAAUAAUAUAGUAAUAACAAUAAAAUGAUUACUAACUUAACAUUUAUAUACUUCUUUAUAUGGUAACUAAUGUAAGCAUGCUUAUAAUGGUAUAUGCACUAUUUAUUAUUACUCACAGAGGGAUCCGAAAAUUCUAGUCCUGUUGAGAACCAGGAGCGAAGGAGGAAGAAGGUCCCGCUCUAUCACCAGCUAGAAG
This 1052-nucleotide long non-coding RNA is filed under the name Jatropha curcas. Its description in RNAcentral is "long non-coding RNA (JCUR_LNC002248)". The record is from RNAcentral. Lineage: Eukaryota; Viridiplantae; Streptophyta; Magnoliopsida; Malpighiales; Euphorbiaceae.